GAGCAAGAGAGAAGAGGACAGAAGAGACAGACAGAGCAGGAAGGGAAGCUCAAGGUCUCAGGGUAUGUCACCCAACUUCUGGCAGCACCACCUGUAUCACCUUCACCAGCAUCUAGAUGGGGCUUUUACUACAACGGAAAGGGUGGAGACCUUAGGUCUCCCUUGGGAGACACUGUUCAGUCUUCUGGUUACAACUUAGUAACUGAUUUGUGCAAGGUCAUCAUUGAAACUUGGUACUCUGACUCCAGGCAACGAGCACUGGCUGUCUAACGCUCCCUAAUUCUGGAGAAGGGCAGGCCAGAGACAUGGACAGAUGAAAAAAAUCCUCAAAGGGAAACAUGUUGCCAAUGUGGAAGAGGAGAAACAAAAAAACAGCAGAAGCCCUAAAAGGAAUCCUAUGAAAAGUACUAUGAUCUCUAAGGAUGGAUGAAGAAGCUAAGAUCGGAGAGACUAGAAAAGUUGGUUAAAGUCAUGCACAGGCAGACAGCAAAACAAGAUUCAAUCCAGAUAUGUCUUUCUCUGAAUCCCAUCUCCUGCUCCACAACACCCUGCAACAUACACUCACCCAGAGCAUAUCACACACCUUAGUGCUGGGGGCACAAGCACUAUCCACUUUACACAACAGAGCCUCAGUUUCCACUCACCUAUUGGCACCCAUCCCACAGGAGCCCAGUUUGGGGCCAUCACCUCCAACGAGCCAGAAGUUCUUUCAGCGCUGGAUGUGGGUGGGAGAGAUUUUGGAGUGCACCACUUGUUUUCAGGACUCAAAUAUUUUCAAAGGGCCUUAAAAAAGCUCCAAGGACCUAAGUCACAUGCCCAUUAGGCCUAAUUAACAGAAUGGGUCUGGAACGGUGGACAACUGAGAAAAAACACAGUGAAGCCAGGAUCGUGAUACAUGCAAUUCUGCAAAAGGGGACAAUUUGGAAAAAAUGGCAUCACAUGAUCUAAUUUUUUAAACUUCUAUUAAUUGGUUCCCAGGCUAUCUCAUCCUUAACCUUGGGAGUUUACCAAAUGUUACUGUAGUUUAACAAACACUAUUUACCCUUUUCAUCUUAUUUGUAUGUAAAUAAAGGGUUA
Phyllostomus hastatus (greater spear-nosed bat) is the source of this 1077-nucleotide long non-coding RNA. RefSeq lists it as uncharacterized. NCBI's taxonomy places the organism in Eukaryota, Metazoa, Chordata, Mammalia, Chiroptera, Phyllostomidae. The transcript has 6 exons. The record is from RefSeq and is a predicted model, not a curated record.